GACGAACGCUGGCGGCGUGCCUAACACAUGCAAGUCGAACGGAACUUCUUUAAUUGAUUUCUUCGGAAUGAAUUUGAUUAAGUUUAGUGGCGGACGGGUGAGUAACGCGUGAGUAACCUGCCUCUGAGAGGGGAAUAACAUUCUGAAAAGAAUGCUAAUACCGCAUAAUAUAUAUUUAUCGCAUGGUAGAUAUAUCAAAGAUUUAUCGCUUAGAGAUGGACUCGCGUCCGAUUAGUUAGUUGGUGAGGUAACGGCUCACCAAGACUGCGAUCGGUAGCCGGACUGAGAGGUUGAACGGCCACAUUGGGACUGAGACACGGCCCAGACUCCUACGGGAGGCAGCAGUGGGGGAUAUUGCGCAAUGGGGGAAACCCUGACGCAGCAACGCCGCGUGAAGGAUGAAGGUCUUCGGAUUGUAAACUUCUUUUAUUAAGGACGAAGAAAGUGACGGUACUUAAUGAAUAAGCUC
RNAcentral lists this ribosomal RNA (469 nucleotides) under uncultured bacterium. RNAcentral describes it as "bacterial SSU rRNA". It matches the Rfam family "Bacterial small subunit ribosomal RNA", at positions 28 to 493 of the family's 1533-position model. The record is from RNAcentral.